Molecule: ribosomal RNA, 788 nt
Filed under: uncultured bacterium
Lineage: Bacteria
Description: bacterial SSU rRNA
Rfam family: Bacterial small subunit ribosomal RNA
Source: RNAcentral
AGAGUUUGAUCCUGGCUCAGGAUGAACGCUAGCGGCAGGCUUAACACAUGCAAGUCGAGGGGUAUAGGUUUUCGGACCUAGAGACCGGCGCACGGGUGCGUAACGCGUAUGCAAUCUACCUUUUACAGAGGGAUAGCCCAGAGAAAUUUGGAUUAAUACCUCAUAGUAUUAUUGAAUGGCAUCAUUUAAUAAUUAAAGUCACAACGGUAAAAGAUGAGCAUGCGUCCCAUUAGCUAGUUGGUAAGGUAACGGCUUACCAAGGCAACGAUGGGUAGGGGUCCUGAGAGGGAGAUCCCCCACACUGGUACUGAGACACGGACCAGACUCCUACGGGAGGCAGCAGUGAGGAAUAUUGGUCAAUGGGCGCAAGCCUGAACCAGCCAUGCCGCGUGCAGGAUGACGGUCCUAUGGAUUGUAAACUGCUUUUGUACAGGAAGAAACAGUUCUACGUGUAGAACCUUGACGGUACUGUAAGAAUAAGGAUCGGCUAACUCCGUGCCAGCAGCCGCGGUAAUACGGAGGAUCCAAGCGUUAUCCGGAAUCAUUGGGUUUAAAGGGUCCGUAGGCGGUUUUUGUAAGUCAGUGGUGAAAGCCCAUCGCUCAACGGUGGAACGGCCAUUGAUACUGCAAGACUUGAAUUAUUGGGAAGCAACUAGAAUAUGUAGUGUAGCGGUGAAAUGCUUAGAGAUUACAUGGAAUACCAAUUGCGAAGGCAGGUUGCUACCAAUACAUUGACGCUGAUGGACGAAAGCGUGGGGAGCGAACAGGAUUAGAUACCCUAGUAGUCC